RNAcentral lists this ribosomal RNA (1128 nucleotides) under Triticum aestivum (bread wheat). Its description in RNAcentral is "partial small subunit ribosomal RNA". Lineage: Eukaryota; Viridiplantae; Streptophyta; Magnoliopsida; Poales; Poaceae. The record is from RNAcentral.
AUGGACGGCGACUACGUCUCCGGCCUGCUCAUGGGCUCCGCGGGGCUCGACUUCGGCGUGCCGGGCCUCGACGCCGGCUUCUUCGAGACGCUCUGUGGCGCCGGUGGCGCUGGCGCCGCGGGGCUCGCGGCGAUGUUCGGGGACCGGGCGGCCGGGAUGCCCGGCUUGGGCGGCGGCGGUCGGUUCGGGGCCGCGGAGGGGACCGGCGGCUGCGAGCUCGGCGCCGCGUCCAGGGAGGGCUCCUCCGUCUCCGACCCGGCGUGGGCGUACGGCGCGAAUGCCAGGAAGCGGAAGGCGCCGGCCGCGGGCGCCGGCAAGGGCAAAGAGGCCGCGUCCUGUUUCGCCAAGAUGGGAGAGCCGACGGGGCCGGACUCGAAGAAAUGCAAAAUUGAGGAGGAGACUGUGAGGCCCAAGGUGGAGGAGGAGGCGGCCACGGCCAGCGAUGGGUCGGCCGGCGGGGAGCGAGGCCGCAAGCAGGCCAAGGGCAAGGGCUCCAAGUCCAAGCAGCCGGCGGCGGACGAGCCGCCCAGGGACUACGUCCAUGUCCGGGCCAGGAGAGGCCAGGCGACCGACAGCCACAGCCUUGCUGAGAGGGUCAGAAGAGAGAAGAUCACCCUCAAGAUGAAGAUGCUCCAGGACCUGGUGCCAGGAUGUAACAAGGUGAUUGGCAAAGCGCUCAUGCUCGAUGAGAUCAUAAACUAUGUUCAAUCGCUGCAGCAGCAAGUCGAGUUCUUGUCCAUGAAGCUCUCGACCGUGAACCCGCAACUUGACUUCGACACCUUGUCUAACCUCCUACACAAAGAUAUGAACCAAGCACUUGACCCCUCGGCGAGCACGGUGUUUCCAUUGGAGAGUGCUGGCACGGUGUACCCAUUGUGUGACCAAGCAGACCUUUACCAGUCCUUCAGUUCGGGUGCUAUGGAGAACCAAUGCUCCAUGGGUCUGUUAGACAUGGCUCUACCGCACGCACCGCAGUACCCUUUUCAAAAACAGCAGCAGGAUUUCUGGGAGGCGAGUGCGCAAAAUGGGCUCCAUAUGGACCACGAGCAAAGCCAGGAGAAUGCAGGUUCGGCACCGAAUUUCGAUGGUCAGCUACAAGCAGCAGAUCAUCCAGAGAUUGAGUUCUAG